Molecule: ribosomal RNA, 457 nt
Filed under: uncultured bacterium
Lineage: Bacteria
Description: bacterial SSU rRNA
Rfam family: Bacterial small subunit ribosomal RNA
Source: RNAcentral
GAUGAACGCUAGCUGAACGCCUAACACAUGCAAGUCGAACGAGAAACUCUCUUCGGAGAGCGGAAAGUGGCAAACGGGCGAGUAACGCGUACUUAACCUACCCCAGAGUCGUGGACAACUAUGGAGACAUAGCUAAUCCCCGAUACGCUCUAAAGGCUGUAAUGCCUUAUGAGGAAAGAUUUAUCGCUCAGGGAGGGAGGUGCGUCCUAUCAGGUAGUUGGUGAGGUAAAAGCUCACCAAGCCGAAGACGGGUAGCCGGUCUGAGAGGAUGUCCGGCCGCAAUGGAACUGAGACACGGUCCAUACCCCUACGGGGGGCAGCAGUGGGGAAUAUUGCACAAUGGGCGAAAGCCUGAUGCAGCGAUUCAGCGUGGAGGAUGAAGCAUUAAGGUGUGUAAACUCCUUUUCUGGUGGAAGACGAUUGACGGUACACCAGGAAUAAGGGACGGCUAACUAUG